GGAGGUAUCAGAAGUGCGAAUGCUGACAUAAGUAACGAUAAAGCGGGUGAAAAGCCCGCUCGCCGGAAGACCAAGGGUUCCUGUCCAACGUUAAUCGGGGCAGGGUGAGUCGACCCCUAAGGCGAGGCCGAAAGGCGUAGUCGAUGGGAAACGGGUUAAUAUUCCCGUACUUGGUGUUACUGCGAAGGGGGGACGGAGAAGGCUAUGUUGGCCGGGCGACGGUUGUCCCGGUUUAAGCGUGUAGGUGUGUGUUCCAGGUAAAUCCGGUUCACUUUAACACUGAGGCGUGAUGACGAGGCACUACGGUGCUGAAGCAACAAAUGCCCUGCUUCCAGGAAAAGCCUCUAAGCAUCAGGUAACAUCAAAUCGUACCCCAAACCGACACAGGUGGUCAGGUAGAGAAUACCAAGGCGCUUGAGAGAACUCGGGUGAAGGAACUAGGCAAAAUGGUGCCGUAACUUCGGGAGAAGGCACGCUGACACGUAGGUGAAGUGAUUUACUCAUGGAGCUGAAGUCAGUCGAAGAUACCAGCUGGCUGCAACUGUUUAUUAAAAACACAGCACUGUGCAAACACGAAAGUGGACGUAUACGGUGUGACGCCUGCCCGGUGCCGGAAGGUUAAUUGAUGGGGUCAGCGCAAGCGAAGCUCCUGAUCGAAGCCCCGGUAAACGGCGGCCGUAACUAUAACGGUCCUAAGGUAGCGAAAUUCCUUGUCGGGUAAGUUCCGACCUGCACGAAUGGCGUAAUGAUGGCCAGGCUGUCUCCACCCGAGACUCAGUGAAAUUGAACUCGCUGUGAAGAUGCAGUGUACCCGCGGCAAGACGGAAAGACCCCGUGAACCUUUACUAUAGCUUGACACUGAACAUUGAGCCUUGAUGUGUAGGAUAGGUGGGAGGCUUUGAAGUGUGGACGCCAGUCUGCAUGGAGCCGACCUUGAAAUACCACCCUUUAAUGUUUGAUGUUCUAACGUGGACCCGUGAUCCGGGUUGCGGACAGUGUCUGGUGGGUAGUUUGACUGGGGCGGUCUCCUCCUAAAGAGUAACGGAGGAGCACGAAGGUUGGCUAAUCCUGGUCGGACAUCAGGAGGUUAGUGCAAUGGCAUAAGCCAGCUUGACUGCGAGCGUGACGGCGCGAGCAGGUGCGAAAGCAGGUCAUAGUGAUCCGGUGGUUCUGAAUGGAAGGGCCAUCGCUCAACGGAUAAAAGGUACUCCGGGGAUAACAGGCUGAUACCGCCCAAGAGUUCAUAUCGACGGCGGUGUUUGGCACCUCGAUGUCGGCUCAUCACAUCCUGGGGCUGAAGUAGGUCCCAAGGGUAUGGCUGUUCGCCAUUUAAAGUGGUACGCGAGCUGGGUUUAGAACGUCGUGAGACAGUUCGGUCCCUAUCUGCCGUGGGCGCUGGAGAACUGAGGGGGGCUGCUCCUAGUACGAGAGGACCGGAGUGGACGCAUCACUGGUGUUCGGGUUGUCAUGCCAAUGGCACUGCCCGGUAGCUAAAUGCGGAAGAGAUAAGUGCUGAAAGCAUCUAAGCACGAAACUUGCCCCGAGAUGAGUUCUCCCUGAGACUUUAGAGUCUCCUGAAGGAACGUUGAAGACGACGACGUUGAUAGGCCGGGUGUGUAAGCGCAGCGAUGCGUUGAGCUAACCGGUACUAAUGAACCGUGAGGCUUAACCUUACAACGCCGAAG
This 1685-nucleotide ribosomal RNA is filed under the name Salmonella enterica subsp. enterica serovar Cerro str. CFSAN001590. RNAcentral describes it as "bacterial LSU rRNA". It matches the Rfam family "Bacterial large subunit ribosomal RNA", at positions 1275 to 2925 of the family's 2925-position model. The record is from RNAcentral. Lineage: Bacteria; Pseudomonadati; Pseudomonadota; Gammaproteobacteria; Enterobacterales; Enterobacteriaceae.